Molecule: ribosomal RNA, 465 nt
Filed under: Vreelandella stevensii
Lineage: Bacteria; Pseudomonadati; Pseudomonadota; Gammaproteobacteria; Oceanospirillales; Halomonadaceae
Description: partial 16S ribosomal RNA
Rfam family: Bacterial small subunit ribosomal RNA
Source: RNAcentral
CCUACGGGAGGCAGCAGUGGGGAAUAUUGGACAAUGGGGGCAACCCUGAUCCAGCCAUGCCGCGUGUGUGAAGAAGGCCCUCGGGUUGUAAAGCACUUUCAGUGAGGAAGAACGCCUGGUGGUUAAUACCCAUCAGGAAAGACAUCACUCACAGAAGAAGCACCGGCUAACUCCGUGCCAGCAGCCGCGGUAAUACGGAGGGUGCGAGCGUUAAUCGGAAUUACUGGGCGUAAAGCGCGCGUAGGUGGCUUGAUAAGCCGGUUGUGAAAGCCCCGGGCUCAACCUGGGAACGGCAUCCGGAACUGUCAAGCUAGAGUGCAGGAGAGGAAGGUAGAAUUCCCGGCGUAGCGGUGAAAUGCGUAGAGAUCGGGAGGAAUACCAGUGGCGAAGGCGGCCUUCUGGACUGACACUGACACUGAGGUGCGAAAGCGUGGGUAGCAAACAGGAUUAGAUACCCCAGUAGUC